UUCAAAAUUUCUUAAAUAGAAAAUAAAACUAUUUAAUUCAACAUCAUUCAUAACUUCAAAAAUUAUGCAGCGAAAUACUAUCAUCAACACCAACAAUUGUUUAAACUUCCAAAUAAUAUCUUGGCAUAAAGCCUAACAACAAUUUCAUCCAACAUAGGGCCAUAACAACAAGUUCCAAAAUAAGAUACAUAGGAAAGAAAACAAUAAUAAGAAUAUUUCCCAUCCCACGUAUCAGAGCCCUAGACACGACAUUGAGCCACCACCGACUACUCAGGAUCACCUGCAAGUUACCCAUAGGAAGGGCAACAUUUUCAAGCAGAAGGGGUGAGAUUCACAACAAUAAAAUAUAGAUAUUAAAAUUCAUCAAUUGAAUCUAACACCCUAAAUAUAAUCAGAUCAUCACCAUAUAUAUAUAUAAAUAUAUACUUCAUAAAACACAUCAUCAUCAAUAUGGCAUUUACAACCAACAACACCGACUCAUGCAAAUGACAUGACAACACAGCUAAGACAACACCUUAGACUCCUCAACAAAUGCAAUAUGCAUGUGGUACCAAACAGGAUCGAAGCCCUCACCGCUUUUGAAUGGUUAAAGCAUUCAUCAGGACCGAAGCCCUCAUCGCUGUUGAGCAACUAGUGCUCUAGGACAUGAGUCCUCUCCGCUGUUUAUGCAUAUGCAAUGGACCUACUUGUGUAUAUCUACAUACAACUUGACCAUGCAUACAUACUCCAUAUGACUCCACUUAAACAACAUGUAUGGUUAAUAGAUAAAGCAUACAUUUCAGUCAUCAACAGCAAUCAACAACCAAUAAUCCAGCAAUCCAGAAUAAUGCAUAAUCAUUUAUAAAUAUGCUCGAAAACAACAACACCAAGCACUACCAUUCAUGUACGCAAUUCAGCACUCAAAAACUGUGCAGCUCGCCUCGCGAGCACAUCUGCUCGCUAUGGCGAGUUCACAAAACUGCUUGCUCGCCAUGGCGAGUUCAAGGCGAACUCGAGGCGAGUGAAAAAUAGGUGCUCUUGGGAAUUAGACAUUAUUCUCACUCAAACCUCAAUUCUAAGCUCCCUAUUCAUCUUUUUAACCUAAAACUUGCUCCAGUCAUCAUUAAAAUCAUCCAGGUACCUUAAACCAUCCCCAAAACAUCUUAUAACAACAUUUCAAAAAUCAAGUUUUGAUCUGGCUUGCUCGCCAUGGCGAGUUGGUCUGCUCGCGAGGCGAGCGAUGAACUUCUGUACGGGCAGAAAACUGGUUUUUCCCCAAAAUUUAAUUUCUCUUCCUUUCACUCCCCAAAUCAGUUUACAGAUGUAAUUUAUCUUGCUGUAUACACUCAGAACCUAUUUCUAACAUCAAAAUCAUCAUUACAACUCCAAAAUCAACAUUUCAUCAUAAAAUCCCAAAAUCCCAAUUCUCACCAAAACUCUGUUAAAUUCAAAUUCAGAAAUCAAAAUCUAUACUACUGAAGUAAAUCUCACCCUUACCUUAGAAUUGCAGAAAGAAAUGCACAUCAAUUUGGUUCCUGGGUUCUACUUGCUCUUCUCUCCCUUUUUUCCCAACUUGACAGUUUCACGUAAAAAGCUUCUGACAUCUAUUUUCCUAACUUCCCUCUUACUUAACUCCCUUUAUUUUCAUUUAACUCCCUUUAAUUCUAUUAAAUAUUAAAUAACUCCCCAAACUCCAAAAUAAUUAUUAUUUUUCACUUAAUCCAAUUAUUAUUAAAAUAAACCAUAUAAUAAAAUAAACACACCACAUAAAUCACCAAAAAUCAUAUAUAUAUAUAUAUAUAUAUAUAUAAACUCCACAUAAAUCAAAAUAAUUAAAUAUAUCGACUAGGGCGUUACAUAACUAAUUUAUUAAUUAUGGAAAUAAGCAUCAAGGGGAAUAAACCUAGUAAGACCAUUGUCCUCGGUCUUUAGGUAAGGUAGACAUUGAUAGGGUUGAUAAAUAUCUUUUUUUUUUAUUAAUACUUCUUUUGAUGAAUUAAGAGAGUAGUGAAACAUCAAGGUGAAACUUAAUUUUUUUAUCAAACAUCUAUCCUCUGAUGUCCAUUACAAUUUUUUUAAUAAAAACGAAAAAAUUAGGUACAAAAAGGGGGUAAAACCAAAACCCUCAGAAAAAAGGCCAAGAAGUUGAAGAAAAAAAACAAGAAAGAGAAACUACUCAAUUAGUAAAAGAUGUCUUUCAACCACCCUUAAAACAAAUGUUAUGAGCAGUCCUAUUGAGCUCCUUUUUAUUAAAAUUGAUAAAUACUUUAAUUAAGAAAAAACUUGUUAAUCAAAAAAUAAAUUGGAUUAAUACUUUAAUUAAGAAAAAAAUUUUGGUUUAACAUUGUUAAGCUUGAAAUAAAUAUUUAUUCACCAAAACAUGGAGUAAGGUGCUUUUGAGAUGUUCUAAGCUAUGACGUUUACCAAAUAUAUGAACAGUAGGUGUAAAUUAUGUAUUUUCAAUUUAAGUUUUAAUGCUUCUAAUUGAAUACUGUCGAAUGAAUCACUUAGACACUAGUUUAAAAAUAUUCUUCUUUGAUUAAGAAAAAAAAGUUGGUUCAACAUUGUUAAGCUUGAAACAAAUAUUUAUUCACCAAAAGUUAGAGUAAAGGUGUCUUUUCUCUUUUGAGAUGUUCUAGGACGUUUAACAAAUAUACGGACAGUUAAUGUAAAUCAUGUAUUUUAAUUUAAAUUUUAAUGCUUCUAACUAAAUACGGU
Molecule: long non-coding RNA, 2697 nt
Filed under: Medicago truncatula (barrel medic)
Lineage: Eukaryota; Viridiplantae; Streptophyta; Magnoliopsida; Fabales; Fabaceae
Description: long non-coding RNA (MTRU_LNC008171)
Source: RNAcentral